CGGUGCUUGCAUCACCCGACACCGAGUGACCGGAUUAAUCGGAUUAGCUCGCUCACUUGUGGACGAGCCCGAAUCAUCCGGGCCCGGUCUCCGUCACGGAGGU
This 103-nucleotide non-coding RNA is filed under the name Streptomyces microflavus DSM 40593. RNAcentral describes it as "NLPC-P60 RNA". It matches the Rfam family "NLPC-P60 RNA". Lineage: Bacteria; Bacillati; Actinomycetota; Actinomycetes; Kitasatosporales; Streptomycetaceae. The record is from RNAcentral.